This 460-nucleotide ribosomal RNA is filed under the name uncultured bacterium. RNAcentral describes it as "partial 16S ribosomal RNA". It matches the Rfam family "Bacterial small subunit ribosomal RNA", at positions 338 to 795 of the family's 1533-position model. The record is from RNAcentral.
CCUACGUGAGGCAGCAGUGAGGAAUAUUGGUCAAUGGACGCAAGUCUGAACCAGCCAAGCCGCGUGAAGGAUGACUGCUCUAUGGGUUGUAAACUUCUUUUAUAUGGGAGUAAAAUGUUCCACGCGUGUGAUUUUGUAUGUAUCAUAUGAAUAAGGAUCGGCUAACUCCGUGCCAGCAGCCGCGGUAAUACGGAGGAUUCGAGCGUUAUCCGGAUUUAUUGGGUUUAAAGGGAGCGUAGGUGGUAGGUUAAGUCAGUUGUGAAAGUUCGAGGCUCAACUUGAGAAUUGCAGUUGAAACUGGUAGGCUAGAGUGCAGUAGAGGUGGGCGGAAUGUGUGGUGUAGCGGUGAAAUGCUUAGAGAUCACGAAGAACACCGAUUGCGAAGGCAGUUCACUGGACUGCAACUGACACUGAGGCGCGAAAGUGUGGGGAGCAAACAGGAUUAGAUACCCCAGUAGUC